GAUGAACGCUGGCGGCGUGCCUAAUACAUGCAAGUCGAGCGAACGGACGAGAAGCUUGCUUUUCUGAUGUUAGCGGCGGACGGGUGAGUAACACGUGGAUAACCUACCUAUAAGACUGGGAUAACUUCGGGAAACCGGAGCUAAUACCGGAUAAUAUUUUGAACCGCAUGGUUCAAAAGUGAAAGACGGUCUUGCUGUCACUUAUAGAUGGAUCCGCGCUGCAUUAGCUAGUUGGUAAGGUAACGGCUUACCAAGGCAACGAUGCAUAGCCGACCUGAGAGGAUGAUCGGCCACACUGGAACUGAGACACGGUCCAGACUCCUACGGGAGGCAGCAGUAGGGAAUCUUCCGCAAUGGGCGAAAGCCUGACGGAGCAACACCGCGUGAGUGAUGAAGGUCUUCGGAUCGUAAAACUCUGUUAUUAGGGAAGAACAUAUGUGUAAGUAACUGUGCACAUCUUGACGGUACCUAAUCAGAAAGCCACGGCUAACUACGUG
This 497-nucleotide ribosomal RNA is filed under the name uncultured bacterium. Its description in RNAcentral is "partial 16S ribosomal RNA". It matches the Rfam family "Bacterial small subunit ribosomal RNA", at positions 28 to 507 of the family's 1533-position model. The record is from RNAcentral.